CCUACGGGUGGCUGCAGUGGGGGAUAUUGCACAAUGGGGGGAACCCUGAUGCAGCGACGCCGCGUGGGUGAAGAAGCGCCUCGGCGCGUAAAGCCCUGUCAGCAGGGAAGAAAAUGACGGUACCUGAAGAAGAAGCCCCGGCGAACGACGGGCCAGCAGCCGCGGUAAUACGUAGGGGGCAAGCGUUAUCCGGAUUGACUGGGUGUAAAGGGGGCGCAGACGGCGCUGCAAGCCAGGAGUGAAAGCCCGGGGCCCAACCCCGGGACUGCUCUUGGAAGUGCGUGGCUGGAGUGCAGGAGGGGCAGGCGGCAUUCCUGGUGUCGCGGUGAAAUGCGUAGAUAUCAGGAGGCACCCCGGUGGCGAAGGCGGCCUGCUGGACUGCACCUGCCGUUGCGGCCCGCCAGCGUGGGGAGCACACAGGAUUAGAUACCCUUGUAGUC
This 440-nucleotide ribosomal RNA is filed under the name uncultured bacterium. RNAcentral describes it as "partial 16S ribosomal RNA". It matches the Rfam family "Bacterial small subunit ribosomal RNA", at positions 338 to 795 of the family's 1533-position model. The record is from RNAcentral.